RNAcentral lists this ribosomal RNA (253 nucleotides) under uncultured bacterium. RNAcentral describes it as "partial 16S ribosomal RNA". It matches the Rfam family "Bacterial small subunit ribosomal RNA", at positions 524 to 776 of the family's 1533-position model. The record is from RNAcentral.
UACAGAGGCCUCGGGCGUUAGGCGGAAUCACUGGGCUUAAAGCGUGUGUAGGCGGAGUGCUAAGUACCUUGUGAAAUCCCACGGCUUAACCGUGGAACUGCUUGGUAUACUGGUUCUCUUGAGCCACCUAGGGGCAGCCGGAACAAACGGUGGAGCGGUGAAAUGCGUAGAUAUCGUUUGGAACGCCAAUGGUGAAAACAGGUUGCUGGGGGUGUGCUGACGCUGAGACACGAAAGCCAGGGGAGCGAACGGG